Lagenorhynchus albirostris (white-beaked dolphin) is the source of this 1953-nucleotide long non-coding RNA. RefSeq lists it as uncharacterized. The record is from RefSeq and is a predicted model, not a curated record. NCBI's taxonomy places the organism in Eukaryota, Metazoa, Chordata, Mammalia, Artiodactyla, Delphinidae. The transcript is spliced from 4 exons.
UCCUGUUUUAUAGUUGUUAGCAGUUGUUGUAUGUAUUACUGAGGUGCUCCCGUGUUGGGUGCAUAUAAAUUUAAAAUUGUUAUAUCUUCUUUUUGGAUUGAUUCCUUGAUCAUUAUGUAGCGUCUUUCCUUGUCUCUUGUAACAUUCUUUAUUUUAAAGUCUAUUUCAUCUGAUAUCAGUAUUGCUACUCCAGCUUUCUUUUGAUUUCCGUUUGCAUGGAAUAUCUUUUUCCAUCCCGUCACUUUCAGUCUGUAUGUGUCCCUAGGUCUGAAGUGGGUCUCUUGUAGACAGCAUAUAGAUGGGUCUUGUUUUUGUAUCCAUUCAGGGAGCCUGUGUCUUUUGUUUGGAGCAUUUAAUCCAUUCACAUUGAAGGUAAUUAUCAAUGUGUAUGUUCCUAUUGCCAUUUUCUUAAUUGUUAUGGGUUUGUUUUUGUAGGCCCUUUUCUUCUCUUGUGUUUCCCACUUAGAGAAGUUCCUUUAGCAUUUGUUGUAGAGCUGGUUUGGUGAUGGUGAAUUCUCUUAGCUUUUGCUUGUCUAUAAAGCUUUUGAUUUCUCCAUUGAAUCUGAAUGAGAUCCUUGCCGGGUAGAGUAAUCUUGGUUGUAGUUUCUUCCCUUUCAUCAUUUUAAGUAUAUCAUGCCACUCCCUUCUGGCUUGUAGAGUUUCUGCUGAGAAAUCAGCUGUUAACCUUAUGGGAGUUCCCUUGUAUGUUAUUUGUCAUUUUUCCCUUGUUGCUUUCAAUAAUUUUUCUUUGUCUUUAAUUUUUGCCAGUUUGAUUUCUUUGUGUCUCAGUGUGUUUCUCCUUGGGUUUAUCCUGUAUGGGCCUCUCUGUGCUUCUUGUACUUGGGUGGCUAUUUCCUUUCCCAUGUUAGGGGAGUUUUUGCCUAUAAUCUUUUCAGAUAUUUUCUCAGAUCCUUUCUCUCUCUUUUCUCCUUCUGGGACCCCUAUAAUGUGAAUGUUGUUGCAUUUAAUGUUGUCCCAGAGGUCUCUUAGGCUGUCUUCAUUUCUUUUCAUUCUUUUUUCUUUAUUCUGUUCCGCAGCAGUGAAUUCCACCAUUCUGUCUUCCAGGUCACUUAUCCAUUCUUCUGCCUCAGUUAUUCUGCUAUUGAUUCCUUCUAGUGUAAUUUUCAUUUCAGGUAUUGUAUUGUUCAUCUCUGUUUGUUUGUUCUUUAAUUCUUGUAGAUCUUUGUUAAACAUUUCUUGCAUCUUCUCAAUCUUUGCCUCCAUUCUUCUUCCGAGGUCCUGGAUCAUCUUCACUAUCAUUAUUCUGAAUUCUUUUUCUGGAAGGUUGCCUAUCUCCACUUCAUUUAGUUGUUUUUCUGGGGUUUUAUCUUGUUCCUUCAUCUGGUACAUAGCCCUCUGCCUUUUCAUCUUGUCUGUCUUUCUGUGAAUGUGGUUUUUGUUCCACAGGCUGCAGGAUUGUAGUUCUUUUUGCUUCUGCUGUCUGCCCUCUGGUGGAUGAGGCUAUCUAAGAGGCUUGUGCAAGCUUCCUGAUGGGAGGGACUGGUGGUGGGUAGAGUUGGCUGUUGCUCUGGUGGGCAGAGCUCAGUAAAACUUUAUCCACUUGUCUGCUGAUGGGUGGGGCUGGGUUACCUCCCUGUUGGUUGUUUGGCCUGAGGCGACCCAACACUGGACCCAACCGGCUCUUUGGUGGAACCAAUGCGGACUCUAGGAGGGCUCACGCCAAGGAGUACUUCCCAGAACUUCUGCUGCCAGCCAGUGUCCUUGUACCCACGGUGAGCUGCAGCCACCCCCUACCUCUGCAGGAGACCCUCCAGCACUAGCAGCCCAGCUUCAAUAAUUAACCAUUAGUACCCAGUCUUACUUCGUCUGUACCCCUGUCUAGGCUCAUCAUAUUAUUUUGAAGCAUAUCUCAGAUAUAAUCAUAAUACCAUGUCACACCUGAAAAAAAAAGGAGCGCAGGCAUGACUCAUCUGGUCUGACUGAGGACACCCC